RNAcentral lists this ribosomal RNA (450 nucleotides) under uncultured bacterium. RNAcentral describes it as "partial 16S ribosomal RNA". It matches the Rfam family "Bacterial small subunit ribosomal RNA", at positions 354 to 796 of the family's 1533-position model. The record is from RNAcentral.
GUGGGGAAUCUUCCGCAAUGGACGAAAGUCUGACGGAGCAACGCCGCGUGAGUGAAGAAGGUUUUCGGAUCGUAAAGCUCUUUCGUUAGGGACGAACGUGCUCUUUGUGAAUAAUGAGGAGUAAUGACGGUACCUAAAUAAGAAGCCACGGCUAACUACGUGCCAGCAGCCGCGGUAAUACGUAGGUGGCAAGCGUUGUCCGGAAUUAUUGGGCGUAAAGCGCGCGCAGGCGGGAUAUCAAGUCUGUCUUAAAAGUGCGAGGCUCAACCUCGGUAGGGGACAGAAACUGGUAUUCUUGAGUGUCGGAGAGGAAAGUGGAAUUCCAAGUGUAGCGGUGAAAUGCGUAGAGAUUUGGAAGAACACCAGUGGCGAAGGCGACUUUCUGGACAAUGUCUGACGCUGAGGCGCGAAAGCUAGGGGAGCGAACGGGAUUAGAUACCCCUGUAGUCC